UACGUAGGUGGCAAGCGUUGUCCGGAAUUAUUGGGCGUAAAGCGCACGCAGGUGGUUUCUUAAGUCUGAUGUGAAAGCCCACGGCUCAACCGUGGAGGGUCAUUGGAAACUGGGGAACUUGAGUGCAGGAGAGAAGAGUGGAAUUCCACGUGUAGCGGUGAAAUGCGUAGAGAUGUGGAGGAACACCAGUGGCGAAGGCGACUCUUUGGCCUGUAACUGACACUGAGGCGCGAAAGCGUGGGGAGCAAACAGG
RNAcentral lists this ribosomal RNA (253 nucleotides) under uncultured bacterium. Its description in RNAcentral is "partial 16S ribosomal RNA". It matches the Rfam family "Bacterial small subunit ribosomal RNA", at positions 524 to 776 of the family's 1533-position model. The record is from RNAcentral.